RNAcentral lists this ribosomal RNA (480 nucleotides) under uncultured bacterium. RNAcentral's name for it is "bacterial SSU rRNA". It matches the Rfam family "Bacterial small subunit ribosomal RNA", at positions 36 to 507 of the family's 1533-position model. The record is from RNAcentral.
CUGGCGGCAGGCCUAAUACAUGCAAGUCGAACGGCAGCACAGCAGAGCUUGCUCUGUGGGUGGCGAGUGGCGGACGGGUGAGGAAUACAUGGGAAUCUGCCCAGUCGUGGGGAUAACGUAGGGAAACUUACGCUAAUACCGCAUGCGCCCUUCGGGGAAAGCCGGGGACCUUCGGGCCUGGCGCGAUUGGAUGAGCCCAUGUCGGAUUAGCUAGUUGGCGGGGUAAUGGCCCACCAAGGCGACGAUCCGUAGCUGGUCUGAGAGGAUGAUCAGCCACACUGGAACUGAGACACGGUCCAGACUCCUACGGGAGGCAGCAGUAGGGAAUAUUGGACAAUGGGCGCAAGCCUGAUCCAGCCAUGCCGCGUGAGCGAAGAAGGCCCUCGGGUUGUAAAGCUCUUUUGUCCGGAAAGAAAAGCGCCGGGUUAAUACCCUAGUGUCCUGACGGUACCGGAAGAAUAAGCACCGGCUAACUUCGUG